UGGGGAAUAUUGCACAAUGGGGGAAACCCUGAUGCAGCGACGCCGCGUGAACGAAGAAGGUAUUCGUAUCGUAAAGUUCUGUCCUAUGGGAAGAUAAUGACAGUACCAUAGAAGAAAGCUCCGGCUAAAUACGUGCCAGCAGCCGCGGUAAUACGUAUGGAGCGAGCGUUGUCCGGAAUUAUUGGGCGUAAAGGGUACGCAGGCGGUUUAAUAAGUCGAAUGUUAAAGAUCGGGGCUCAACCCCGUAAAGCAGUGGAAACUGAUAAACUUGAGUAGUGGAGAAGAAAGUGGAAUUACUAGUGUAGUGGUGAUAUACGUAGAUAUUAGGAGGAAUACCAGUAGCGAAGGCGACUGUCUGGACGCAAACUGACGAUGAGGUACGAAAGCAUGGGGAGCAAACAGG
Molecule: ribosomal RNA, 403 nt
Filed under: bacterium
Lineage: Bacteria
Description: partial 16S ribosomal RNA
Rfam family: Bacterial small subunit ribosomal RNA
Source: RNAcentral